This is a long non-coding RNA of Herpailurus yagouaroundi (jaguarundi), 705 nucleotides long. RefSeq lists it as uncharacterized. Lineage: Eukaryota; Metazoa; Chordata; Mammalia; Carnivora; Felidae. The record is from RefSeq and is a predicted model, not a curated record. The transcript has 4 exons.
AGUUAGUAUUUCUGCCAGUGAUGUAUGAGGGUUCCAAUUAAUUGUUCCACAUCCUCUCCGAGAUCUGAUGGUGUCAGGUUUUACAUUAAGCCCUUCUGGUAGACUGCCUAAUGAAGCAGAAGGUCAUGAGAAAGUCCUUUUCCUUCUCUGACUUGCGUCUCCCUGGAGAACUACUGCCGGUAGCUCCUGGGACCUCCUUCCCUAGGACUGGCACUGAGUGUCCCUGGAUCCAGCCCCGAAUGAGGCUCAAGUCUAGGCAAGGAGCAAGCUCAGGAAAUCACGUAAGAGCCCCAACACGGGGAGACCAGACGUCUGCCUUUGAUGCAGAGAGAGAUAAUAGCUUUCUCUGGUUAUGGCAUGGAGGAGGGACUGGAGGGCGUAGAGACGGGACUGGCCGGGACACUGGCACAAUAGCCAAGGUGACAAAGGAUGAACGACAAAACAAGGAAGACCCUGACACAGGGCGAGUGAUGGAAGGACUCUGAGAAUGAAGAAUAGUUGGGACCUGUCUGCUGACGGACCGGAGGUGAGGGAGGAGCCUGCAUUGCUUCUGUGUGUUCACGCCACAUAAGGGAGAGCAUGGGGAUUGCAGAGCCCCCCCUGAACCCCCCCCACCAAGCCUGAGCAGUGGUUCAAAGUCGUCAAAUCUCAGUGUUCAUUAAACUCAUUUGGAAUUUCUUCUAUGGCAAUAGAAGGAUGAGUGCA